AUGACAGUGGUUGGUCAGCAGCCUCUUACUGUCACGGGUCCGGGAAGCACCUUAAAUGUAAACCGCGUCAAUCCUAGGGUCACACAGCGAUUCUCACCGUCAUGCACCCACCACUCGGACGCAUAUUUCGAGAUCAAACAAGGCAGGACGGGAGCCCAGCUGGAAGGUGCCUUCUCCCCACCCGCGCAGGUCUGCACAGGGCCCCCAGAGGGGCACCCAGGCCCCAGGCCCCCUGAGCUUGGGGACCCCAGCCCCAGGCAGAGCCCAGAGAUGUCACGAGGGGCACGUGAGCCACCGGAGGGACUCCCGGUCGGCACCAGAGCCCGUGCCCACGCUCUCUCCAGCCCCAUGGGGCUGUGCCGCCCCCCAGGUGGGUGGACCCCGCGGCAGAGCACGCAGGUGGGGGGCAGGGGGUCUGGCGGAGGGUGCAGACCCGGAGUGCGGAGCCAGCGUGGAUGGGAGACCAGGCGCCGCAGGACCCCGCUCCGAAGUCAGGGUGGGCCCCUGCCCUUGGGGUUGCGGGGAGGGCGAGGGGCCAUUCUCUGGUGGAAGGACGGCCACGGCCCCCAGCUCCCGCGAUCAGGGCGGGGCUGCGCCGGGGCGGGGGGCUCGGCUUCUCCCUCCUCCCAGAGAGGAAGGAGGACUCCAGGCCUUUUCGCACAUCUUGUGUGUGGUUUCUCUGCUGUCAACAAUCAACAGGGUGACAGAAGGCGGAGCUGGCCCCGCGCAGCCCUGAAGGCGGUGUCCUGGAGGAGCCGCUCCCCCGCCCCUCCCGUCCCCGCCCCUCCCGUCCCCGCCCCUCCCGUCCCCCGCCCCUCCCGUCCCCCACCAGUCCCCGCCCCCUCCCCCUCCCGUCCCCCAGGGUGCGGGGAGGACCCUCGCCCCCCAGGACGGCGAGCCCCGCCCACACCUGCCGCGCGACCCGCUCCCCGGAAAGCCCGGCGCCUGCGCGGGGAGGACUCGCACCCCGCUCCGGGGCCCAGCUCCCGCCUGCGUCCCCAGCCGCGGGCCCCCAGCUCGGCCUCCCGGGGACUCUUCUCCUGGAGGCGGGGCCCCCCGGGGCGCGGCUGGCUCUGGGCGCCCACAGGCCGGGACGGCGGGAGCGGCAGGAGCACCGUCCACUGCGCCCGCGGCGGGCAGGCGCUCGCAGAAUCCAGCGCUCCCGGAAUCAAGUGGGCAUCGACGCGGAUCCUGACAGGCUGCAGCACUUAA
RNAcentral lists this long non-coding RNA (1212 nucleotides) under Canis lupus familiaris (dog). RNAcentral describes it as "lncRNA (ENSCAFG00040000022.1)". Lineage: Eukaryota; Metazoa; Chordata; Mammalia; Carnivora; Canidae. The record is from RNAcentral.